CACCUGGGGAGUGUAAAAAGCUACUACUCACGCCCCGGCCCCACCCCCAGAGAUUCUGAUGACACUGGUGUGGGGUGACGCCCGGCCAUCAGGAUUUUUAAAGCUCCCCAGGUGAUUUUACUUUGCAGCCAAAUUUUGGAACCACUGUCUUACACCCUGGCCACUUUCCCCUUUCCCGUUGCCUCCCUUGGCGCGCCCUGAGCCAUUUGACUCCUGCUCUUCUCCAGAUCCCAAAGUUUGGCUUCCCAGGCUGUGCCAGGCCGGCUUGGCCCUGCCCACUGCCUUAAUCCCACCCUAGUUCUGGGAUUGUGAAGCCAAACAUUUCCUCCUUCACUCCUCCCCAAGUCCCUUCUUAGUGUAGGUGGUUUUACUUUUUGGGGGCGUUUCGGGUGAGGACCUUUGUCCGAGACUUUUGAAAAAACGAAAGAACUCCGAUCCUCCUCUGUUCUGUCAGUUUUUGUCUCACACAUUUUGCUGCUAUGCUGUUGGGUCUGAGUUUCUGCCCUGCAUCAUUUUCUUUGUCACAGAGGAACAUCUUUUAACAUUCUCGCAAGGAGAACACAGACCGUGCUCCAACAAGUGUCUGACAACAAUUUGAAGCUUGAUGUUGAGCCCUUCAAAACCACACAGUCUUAGGUGGUAGCAGCAGGAAGUUCACCAGUGGGACAGCAGAGAAAUUGCGAGAAGCCCUGCUGAGGAAGCCCCAGUGGGCUGGGGCCGUCUUGUUUUUUGCUGAGGAAGAUUCACCCUGAGCUAACAUCUGUGCCAAUCUUCCUCUAUAUUGUAUGUGGGUUGCCGCCACAGCAUGGCCACUGAUGAGUGGUGUAGGUCCGCACCCAGGAGCCAAACCCGAGCUGCAGAAGCGGAGAACACUGGACUUAAUCACUAAGCCAUGGGGCUGGUGGGGCCAUCAUUUUUGCUCACGUUCCUCCUCUUCUAGUUCUUGUCUUCCCCACCCACCCCCUCCUGGUCAUCUCUUUUUCAUUCUUUCCUGUCCUCUCCAUUUAUCUACAUCAGUCACAAAUCUUUCAAAGGUGAGCCUGUUCCCUCUGCCUACCCAAGACAUCCUCCAUGCAGCCCACCUCCUUCUCUCCCACUUGAGUUUGGUGACCCAGAGCUUGUAAGUGUGUUGUCACACCACAACCAGAAGUGGUUCAUGAAAUGAGACAAGCUGGGAAAUAAGGCUGUAAGUGAUUCCUUCCUCUACAAAAUUACAUGGAGUGCUGUGGUGCUGAGCCCUGUAUUGGUCUUGAAAACUGGACAUUUCCUCAGCAACUUGAUAAGAAUUCGCUAUGAGGCUGACUAGAAUCUGGGGGCUGGAGGGGAAACUGAGGCCUAGAGCAAAGAGGUAACCGUACAAGUUUCACUGCUAGAGGGCUCUGCCUGGCCCAGGGACUUACUAAGGCAUGGCUCAGAAAUGAUCCUGGGUAACUGCUUUGUUUUGCAAAUUGCAAAACUGAGGUCUGGAGACACCAAUGACUUGCCCAGGGCAUGUGGCUUGUUCCCAAAGACUAGGACUACAGCCCAGGACUCCUGACUCUUCUUCCUAGAACACCUCAGCUGCCUCAGUCUUCUCCAGAGUGACCUUUAGAGACUAGUUUAAUUUUGUAAGCUGGUGGGGCUUGCAGUAAGAACUUUGAAGAAGAAAUGUCAAAAGGAAUCGACAAGAAUAAAAAUGGAGAGGAGAUCACAAAGCUCAGUGUCCCUUGAGGCUUUUCCUAUCUCUUUCCUUGACACCUCCCUAGCCAGCCCCUCCUCCUCCCUUGCACGGCCUCACUGUUUGCGGCGUCCAAAGGGUGGCUCUGGCCUCCUCUGCACCCACUUCCCAGGGCGCAUGUCCACUCACAUCACUUUAGCUCCUGUGACAUGCAGACACUUCCACAUCUGCUGCUCCUGCCCUGGACUUCACAUUUCUUUCCACAGCUGGUUCUGGGAUAUUUCCAUAUGUAAAUAUGCUUAGCUCAGCUGGAAAUCAAAAUUGGAAUUCAUCUUCCCUCUGAAAAUCUGCAGCCUUUUCCUACACCCCUGUUUCCUUCCGUGCUUCCAUAGUCUCCCAGACUCAAAACUUUCGUGUCCCCAGAGGCUGGAGGAGUUGGGAAGGGGAGUCAGUGUUUAAUGGGGACAGAGCUUCAGUUUGGGAAGAUGACAACGUUCUGGACACGGAUGGUGAUGAUGGUUGUCCAACAAUGUGAAUGUACUUAAUGCCACUGAACUGCACACUUAAUAAUGGUUACAAUGGAGAAAAAUGGUUGCAGGGGUAAAUUUUAUAUGUAUUUAACACAAUAUAAAAAACAUAAAACAAAAAACUUUCAUGUUAUCCUUGACUCAUGGCUACUUUGCUCUCUCCUUCCCAGCUCACUUUGUCCCCGGGUCAUGCUGAGUUUUCACUUAGUGGAAGUUCCUCAAACUUUCACAAACUCCAGCAUCAUCAGGGACGCUUGUUAGUUAUCAAUUCCCGAGCCCCAUCCCCCUCUUUAGUCUAAGAGUGAGGCCUGGAAUCUGCAUUUUAAACGAACUUGCCAACAAACCUGACACAAGUGGACUGCAGACCACACUUGGAGAAACACUGCCUUCCAGUGUCUUUCGGCUUUGUCCCUUUGUCUCCUUUCCACGACCCCUCUCCCUCUCUGCCCCGGCUGGCCCUCAUCACCUCGCACCUGGAUUACAGCAACAGCUGGCCUGUCUUCCGCUAGCCUUUCCCUGCUCCAGCCUCUCCAGCUGCCAGGACCCAUCUUCUGCAAAUAUCUUUGGCAUCACAUCACUUCCCCGCUCAGAAGCCCACCAUGGCUCCCUCAGACCUAGUAGAUCCUAUCUCCAUUCAUUUGGCUGGGAGCCAGCCAAGUCGGCCUCCCAUCAUCCCUCCUUCCUCCUUCCCUGUUCACUCCCAACUCUGCAGGCUCAUGGGACAUUUUUAAUCUUAUGAUAGCUCCUCUGCUGGUUUGGGGGGGUCUCCUUUCUACCACCCCCCUCCCCGCCUCCAGAACACUUCUGGUUAUAUGGGAGGAAUUAUGAAAGCUGUUGAGAGUCUCCAUCCUGUUUCUCAAUGUGUCUGUCCCCUCUCCCCUACACUCCCGGCGGUGCCAUUCACUAGCUAAAUGGCUUUGGGCAAGUUGCUUCACCUCUCCGUACCUUGGUGUUCUCAUUUUCUCAUCUAAAAUGGGGAUCUGAGUCAUAUACCUUCACAGAUUUGUGGAGAGGGUUAAAAGAGGCAAUAGAUGCCAAAGGGCUUAGAACAGUGUCUGGCACAAAGUAAGUGCCAUGGAAAUGUUAACUUUUAUUAUUAAUUAUGGUUGUUAUGGCCCCUUCCGCCAGCUCUUUCCUGGAAACCUCUUCUGCUCGGAAUAGUUAACUGAUGGAGUUUUCUGUCAGACCUUGCCGUGUCUAGCAGAUGGAGUUAAGUAUUAAGUAUUUGGGUUCCAUCAAGCUUCCCUGCAUGAGACAACCUAAGGCGCUGGGCUGUCUACAAAGCUCUAAUUAUGUCCAAUAAUUUCUAACCAACUAGGAGGACAACAGGUGCGAUCCGCAAAAGAGAUUUUUCCAGGAUAAGGAGGAUGAUGUUAGGUCAACUUCAAAAUACCCUAAGGGACAGCAGGGUGUGCGCCUUCCUUGCUAUGGUCUUUCUGGAAUCCUUCUCCCUACACUCCAGGUCCCAGUGGCCCUGCUGCCUCAUCUGCUCGGUCCCUGGGUUCCUUCUCAGAGCCCAACCAGGAGCACCUUCCUCUGGUAGUUCCCGCCUGGGAGCCUUGCACCUUGCACCCCAGCAGUCCUUGUCUAUAAAUAAUCUACUGCCCACAUUUCUGUUCUACUUUUCAAAUCUACCUCUCUGCUUCUAUGGCAAAUACAAUACAUUCCUUUAAAAGCCCCACUGAAUUCACAGUCGCUGUUUGUCAUCACAUGCCCCCUUUCUCUCUCUCUCAGUGAGUACUAAAAGUUCAACUACUAUUGGGUUGGGGGAGGGAGGUCUGAGAAUAUUUUUUGACAUUGAAAAGGGACCCCUGUUGUCACAAAGGCUGGGAACCACUGCCCCAUGGGAUAUGUGAGAACUGUGGGAGUAGCACCGAGCUCCCUGGCUCUCAGUUUUCUUGUCUGUCAAAUGGAGGUAAAAAUCAUAACUGCCUGUGUUUCUGACGGCAGGAAACAGCGGGUUUGUUCCGCAUUAAUGAGGAGGGGCUCAGAGCGGAGCUCCUCUGAUUCUUGUCGAUGUUCAGGGAGGGGAGAGCUGCGUGGGCAUCAGAUGAGAUAACAGAUAGGAGGGCCCUGGGAGAGGGUGCGUGCCCAGGCAGAGGAGCAUUAGUGCCAUUGUUCCUCUUGUUCUUUUCCUUGUUCUGGGUCCAGCUGGACUCACUGAGCCCAGAACCCCAAAGCCCGUGAGCGUCUUUCCAGGAGCAGUGUGUGCUUUGCCUUGCCCCACCCUUACUUGGUUUUCGGUGGAACAACAACAAAGAGCUGCUCCUAUAUGUGACUAACAAACAGCCACAAAGUUCCUCUUAUCUAGUCUAGCAACCGCUGUGGCCUGAGAAGUGGCAGUGUUUGU
RNAcentral lists this long non-coding RNA (4534 nucleotides) under Equus caballus (horse). RNAcentral describes it as "lncRNA (ENSECAG00000058463.1)". The record is from RNAcentral. Lineage: Eukaryota; Metazoa; Chordata; Mammalia; Perissodactyla; Equidae.